Molecule: ribosomal RNA, 440 nt
Filed under: uncultured bacterium
Lineage: Bacteria
Description: partial 16S ribosomal RNA
Rfam family: Bacterial small subunit ribosomal RNA
Source: RNAcentral
CCUACGGGAGGCAGCAGUAGGGAAUAUUCCUCAAUGGGGGAAACCCUGAAGCAGCAACGCCGCGUGGAGGAUGAAGGUUUUCGGAUUGUAAACUUCUUUUGUUAGAGAAGAUAAUGACGGUAUCUAACGAAUAAGCACCGGCUAACUCCGUGCCAGCAGCCGCGGUAAUACGGCGGGGGCAAGCGUUAAUCGGAAUGUCUGGGCGUAAAGAGCGCGUAGGCGGGUUAGCAAGUCAGAUGUGAAAUCCUAUGGCUUAACCGUAGAACUGCAUUUGAAACUGUGAUUCUAGAGUAUGGGAGAGGUAGGUGGAAUUCUUGGUGUAGGGGUAAAAUGCGUAGAGAUAAAGAGGAAUACUCAUUGCGAAGGCGACCUGCUAGAACAUAACUGACGCUGAUGCGCGAAAGCGUGGGGAGCAAACAGGAUUAGAUACCCUGGUAGUC